Molecule: transfer RNA, 73 nt
Filed under: Camelus bactrianus (Bactrian camel)
Lineage: Eukaryota; Metazoa; Chordata; Mammalia; Artiodactyla; Camelidae
Also listed under: 2 other names
Rfam family: tRNA
About the family: Transfer RNA (tRNA) molecules are approximately 80 nucleotides in length.
Source: Rfam by way of RNAcentral
GAGGGUAUAGCUCAAGUGGUAGAGUGCAUGCUUAGCAGGCACGAGGUCCUGGGUUCGACCCCCAGUGUCUCCC